This 1096-nucleotide long non-coding RNA is filed under the name Mus musculus (house mouse). RNAcentral describes it as "long non-coding RNA chr2:51544974-51546070". The record is from RNAcentral. Lineage: Eukaryota; Metazoa; Chordata; Mammalia; Rodentia; Muridae.
AACUCAUUGAAUUCUGGCAGACAGAGGUUCCUCAGCUGCUUCUCACUCUGGAUGGCUGCAAUGAUGCUAUCACCCCACCGCUCAACCAGUGGACAUAUCAGACUAUGACUCAUGAACUAGUGGGCAUAAACAACAACCAGAUUGAUCUUUCCAGAGUGCCAAGAAUGAGCAGACUUAAGAGAGAUGGUCCUGUUUGCUGAAAAUGAUGAACUCUAUGCUAAUAACAUGUACCUGAACUCUGCUGAGAUUGGUAGCAAUCUCAUGGAAGACUCCCAGAAGACAAGACCAAAAGAGCAGCGAAAGCUAGAAUCCAUAGCAGACAUGACUGCCUUUGUUGAAAAUUAUCCAUACUUCAGGAAGAUGUCUGGGACUGUCUCAAAACACAUGACAUGACAGUGGUUGGAGAACAGUCUCGGUUGGUCAGUGAGCGAAAUCUGCUGGAAGUUUCAGAGGUUGAGGAAGAACUGGGCUGGCAGAGUGACCAUUCUAGUGCUCUCCAGAAUGUGAAGAGAACCCUGCAGAAACCAAAAGUUACAGAAUUUGAUGCAGUUCACCUGGUGAUGCUUUAUGCUCUCAACAUUAUGAGCACCACAGCAGCAACAGCCUGCCAGGACUCAUAGAGGACCUCAGGAGUAAAGGUGUUGCUGAGAAGUAUCGGAAGCUUGUGUCUGCAGUUGUGAAUAUGGUGGUAAACGGGUUAGAGGGAGUGACCUCUUCAGCCCCAAAGAUGCUGUGGCUAUUACCAAACAGUUUCUCAAAGGAUGGAAGGGAGUGGAAAAUGUGUAUACACAGCACCAGCCUUUCCUGCAUGAAACCCUGGACCAUCUCAUCAAAGAAAAGCUUAAGGAAAAUCUUUAGCCUUAUUUAGGCCGCAGCACACUCAGAGACAAGCCUCAGGAUAUCAUUGUGUUUGUUAUUGGAGGAGCCAUCUAUGAAGAGGCACUGACAGUCUAUAACCUGAACUGCACCACUCCUGGAGUGAAGAUCGUUCUGGAACAAUACACAACACAAAAAGUUUUCCAGAGGAAGUCCUGGCUUCUGCGCUGCAUAGCCAUAGCAGGGAGAGCUCACAGGCCACCCCAAGGCCAACAAGCAG